AGCCGAUAUACUCAAUUUUACUCAAGCAAUUAUUAGUCGUAAGUUGUUGAAUCUGUUUCUAGAUGUCGCAACAAUUGGUAGACGACUUACAAUUACCACAGGAUUUAAUCAGAAUUCUAAUGAACGGUGCGAAAUACAUGAAUAAAACAAAUAAAUUAAAUAGCUUUUUUAUCCAUAGAUUGUAAUCUCGGGCUUUACGAGUUGCUUACAUUCGACGUCGAAGAUUUACACAACGUCGAAGAUUUGGAAAAAGUUGGAGCUACGAUAACCUGUAUGAAAAAAUCAAUGUGUGGCGAAAACGAAACAAAAUUGCAAUACAACAAAUUUUGACUGGAGACACCAUGAAUGGAAGUCCGAUUUCAAGUACUAAACGGGAGGAGUUAGAAUGUUGCGAAAUACCAGUGUCAGGUAUAAAAAAGACCGUAAUAUCUCCGAAGCUCCAAUUGUGAAAUAUUUAAAUUUGGAAGAGGAUCGAGCAGACACUGAUUUGGCCUGCUGCACACCAUUAUUUGAAGAUCAAUCCACAGUAUCACCAAAAAACAAUCAGCAAGAAGAGAACCAAGUUUGCAUUACGGGAACAUCAGAAACACAGCAAAAACUUCUUUACCAGCCAUUCAACCCCAUUAUUUUAAAAAAUUUGCUAGAAGCAAGUGAGAUUGGAAAGGAAAUUUUGCAGCGAGCAAGUUUAGGCGAAUUGUCAGAGGCAAAGCAACUGCAGCUCUCAGGAAUAAUCACAUAGGUCUCAGAAAUAAACUGACCACUGAGGAUUUGAAUAAAUACAGCCUUACAGUAACAACACUUUUUGUGAAAGAAAAACAGGAAAAAUAUUAUAUACCGAGAGGAGGAUCGUAGGACCCCGGGUGGGAAAAUUGCGAAUAAGGUAGGAAACUUACGACAAAGUAAGAGAAAAAGCUACAUAAAAGAAGAACAACACGUGAAAAAGAUUCAGUAUAAUCCUGAAAGCCUCACAGAAACAUGCAGUGAUCACGCAUUGAAGUGGUUAGCAUAAAACCAGUCACCAUGGACAACGGUUUUAGAAUUCUGGUCAGAACGCUUCCACAUCCGACAUUUUUUGAAAAAUGCGAAACAUCUGCUAGGUUGUUGAAAGAAUAUCCAAUGCACAUUACCGUAACACGUUUGGAUAUCAAUUGAUUGAUCUGGACUUUGUUGCACUUUUUCCCAAUGCUUUGAGACAUCCUGAAAACAAUAAGUGGCAAACUGAAACCGUUUUUCAGUAUAAAAUCUUUGGAUCCUUCUGCGACUGACUUGAUCGAGCUUCUUGAUAACUGUGACGAAGAUAAAAAAGGUGUUUUGCUUUUACUGCUAAAUACUGUGCUGCCAUCAAUAUCCGCAGGCGUUAGAUUUAAACCAUCUAUCUGCGUUGCUCAGGACGACUCGAUCAGUUUCGUCAAAGACGAGACCGAAAUUUCAAAAAAGGUAGCCAGCGUGUACGCGAGUUAUAACGAAAGAAAUAAGUGGGCGGUAUUUCGUGCAGCACGAGGACAUACGGUACGAUCUUGAUUCGGCAGUUAGAGCAAUCGAUUUGCUAAUAAAAUUCACUGCUGUCUUUGCCCUACCGUAUUCCAGAAUCUCUAAAUUGAUUUGGCAUUUUCUUAACCAUAUCAUAUACGGGAUACCACAACGCGAAACAUACGCCGCUGUUAAUAAACUUCGUAACUAUUUGGAUGAAUUCAAAAUACCAGCAACAUGAUUGUCUGCAUGCUAAUCAACUGCGACAGUGUAUUUACCGUUGCCAACAAAUAUUUCACGCACCUGAAAGAGCAACAUGGAAUACCUACAAAUUAUCGUUACCGCUGGACGAUAAGUUCUUGCGGACAAAUGUUUUCGAAGUUGUACCCAUUUAAGAAGCACAUAACUAAUCACUUAAAUCUUGUAAGUCUCAGUAAUAUGUCAGUCGAAAUACCUCAGCAUAUUGAAUCUCAGCAUAACUUCAUUAGUGUGAAACACGCUAUCAAUAUCUCCCAGCUGGUCUCGAGGUACGAUGCUGGCCUAACAAGCCAGUCGUCGUAUGUUCGAAUCCCGGCUCGGGAGAGACUGUAAGUGUCAGUAGGAUCGUAGCGCUAGCUCCGCAAUUGUCCUGUACAUUUAAAAGUCGGCUGCGAAGUCUGCGUAUAGUAAAACAGAUAAUAUAGUAUAACUUCAUCAGUAGAGAACAAGUGAGCCCAGUAAAAGUAGAACCCAGUGGGAGUAAAAAACUUAGAACUGAUUAGGACCGAAAGCUCGUCUUUCAUUAGUUCUGAUUUAAUAGACAAAUCAGCUCUUAGCUUCACGU
This is a long non-coding RNA of Wyeomyia smithii (pitcher-plant mosquito), 2293 nucleotides long. RefSeq lists it as uncharacterized. The record is from RefSeq and is a predicted model, not a curated record. The transcript has 5 exons. NCBI's taxonomy places the organism in Eukaryota, Metazoa, Arthropoda, Insecta, Diptera, Culicidae.